GAUGAACGCUGGCGGCGUGCCUAAUACAUGCCAGUCGAGCGAACAGACGAGGAGCUUGCUCCUCUGACGUUAGCGGCGGACGGGUGAGUAACACGUGGAUAACCUACCUAUAAGACUGGGAUAACUUCGGGAAACCGGAGCUAAUACCGGAUAAUAUAUUGAACCGCAUGGUUCAAUAAUGAAAGACGGUUUUGCUGUCACUUAUAGAUGGAUCCGCGCCGCAUUAGCUAGUUGGUAAGGUAACGGCUUACCAAGGCGACGAUGCGUAGCCGACCUGAGAGGGUGAUCGGCCACACUGGAACUGAGACACGGUCCAGACUCCUACGGGAGGCAGCAGUAGGGAAUCUUCCGCAAUGGGCGAAAGCCUGACGGAGCAACGCCGCGUGAGUGAUGAAGGUCUUCGGAUCGUAAAACUCUGUUAUUAGGGAAGAACAAAUGUGUAAGUAACUAUGCACGUCUUGACGGUACCUAAUCAGAAAGCCACGGCUAACUACGUG
RNAcentral lists this ribosomal RNA (497 nucleotides) under uncultured bacterium. RNAcentral describes it as "partial 16S ribosomal RNA". It matches the Rfam family "Bacterial small subunit ribosomal RNA", at positions 28 to 507 of the family's 1533-position model. The record is from RNAcentral.